AAAGCCAAGCGCCAGAACAACACCUUCCCAUUCUUUUCUGAAGGAAUCACACGGAACCGAACUGCCCAGGAGAAAGUGGCAGCCUUGGAGCAACAGGUUCUGAUGCUCACCAAGGAGUUAAAGUCUCAGAAGGAGCUAGUGAAGAUCCUGCACAAGGCACUGGAGGCCGCCCAGCAGGAGAAGCGGGCGUCCAGCGCAUACCUGGCGGCGGCUGAGGACAAGGACCGGCUGGAGCUGGUGCGGCACAAAGUGCGGCAGAUCGCGGAGCUGCUGAGGCAGCUUGUCCAGGAGGCGCUGCAGUGGGAAGCUGGGGAGGCCUCAUCUGACAGCAUCGAGCUGAGCCCCAUCAGUAAGUAUGAUGAGUACGGCUUCCUGACGGUGCCCGACUAUGAGGUGGAAGACCUGAAGCUGCUGGCCAAGAUCCAGGCGUUGGAGUCACGAUCCCACCACCUGCUGGGCCUCGAGGCUGUGGAUCGGCCGCUGAGGGAGCGCUGGGCUGCCCUGGGCGAUCUUGUGCCCUCAGCCGAGCUCAAGCAGCUACUGCGGGCAGGAGUACCCCGUGAACACCGGCCUCGUGUCUGGAGGUGGCUGGUCCACCUCCGUGUCCAGCACCUGCACACUCCAGGCUGCUACCAGGAACUGCUGAGCCGGGGCCAGGCCCGCGAGCACCCUGCUGCCCGCCAGAUUGAGCUGGACCUGAACCGGACCUUCCCCAACAACAAACACUUCACCUGCCCCACCUCCAGCUUCCCCGACAAGCUCCGCCGGGUGCUGCUGGCCUUCUCCUGGCAGAACCCCACCAUCGGCUACUGCCAGGGCC
Molecule: small RNA, 820 nt
Filed under: Pan troglodytes (chimpanzee)
Lineage: Eukaryota; Metazoa; Chordata; Mammalia; Primates; Hominidae
Description: processed transcript
Source: RNAcentral